RNAcentral lists this transfer RNA (76 nucleotides) under Candidatus Nitronereus thalassa. RNAcentral's name for it is "tRNA-Val". It matches the Rfam family "tRNA". Rfam says of the family: Transfer RNA (tRNA) molecules are approximately 80 nucleotides in length. Their secondary structure includes four short double-helical elements and three loops (D, anti-codon, and T loops). Lineage: Bacteria; Pseudomonadati; Nitrospirota; Nitrospiria; Nitrospirales; Nitrospiraceae. The record is from RNAcentral.
GGGCGGAUAGCUCAGUUGGGAGAGCAUUGCCCUUACAAGGCAGAGGUCGCAGGUUCAAUCCCUGUUCCGCCUACCA